GGGGAGGUGCCAGAGUGGUCGAAUGGGGCCGCCUGCUAAGCGGUUGAGCGUAGUUAAUGCGUUCCGAGGGUUCGAAUCCCUCCCUUCCCG
RNAcentral lists this transfer RNA (90 nucleotides) under Chloroflexota bacterium. RNAcentral's name for it is "tRNA-Ser". It matches the Rfam family "tRNA". From Rfam's summary of the family: Transfer RNA (tRNA) molecules are approximately 80 nucleotides in length. Lineage: Bacteria; Bacillati; Chloroflexota. The record is from RNAcentral. RNAcentral also lists the same sequence under 1 other name.